Non-coding RNA from Mycobacterium avium subsp. paratuberculosis, 69 nucleotides. It matches the Rfam family "ASpks TB sRNA". The record is from Rfam. Lineage: Bacteria; Bacillati; Actinomycetota; Actinomycetes; Mycobacteriales; Mycobacteriaceae.
CUUGAUCGACCCCAACCACAACGGCUGGCCACGAUCCUGACCGUAAGUCGCCAACAACGCCUGCGCCUC